AUUGAACGCUGGCGGCAUGCCUUACACAUGCAAGUCGAACGGCAGCACGGGGGCAACCCUGGUGGCGAGUGGCGAACGGGUGAGUAAUAUAUCGGAACGUACCCUGGAGUGGGGGAUAACGUAGCGAAAGUUACGCUAAUACCGCAUACGAUCUACGGAUGAAAGUGGGGGCUCGCAAGACCUCAUGCUCAUGGAGCGGCCGAUAUCUGAUUAGCAGUUGGUGGGGUAAGGCCUACCAAGGCGACGAUCAGUAGCUGGUCUGAGAGGACGACCAGCCACACUGGGACUGAGACACGGCCCAGACUCCUACGGGAGGCAGCAGUGGGAAUUUUCCGCAAUGGGCGAAAGCCUGACGGAGUGACGCCGCGUGGGGGACGAAGGCCU
This 384-nucleotide ribosomal RNA is filed under the name uncultured bacterium. Its description in RNAcentral is "bacterial SSU rRNA". It matches the Rfam family "Bacterial small subunit ribosomal RNA", at positions 29 to 417 of the family's 1533-position model. The record is from RNAcentral.